UACGUAGGGUGCAAGCGUUAUCCGGAAUCAUUGGGCGUAAAGCGUUUGUAGGCGGUUUGGAAAGUUUGUAGUUAAAUCUGGUCGCUCAACGAUCAACUCGCUACAAAAACUCCCAAGCUAGAGAUUGGCAGAGGCAACUGGAAUUCCACAUGUAGGGGUAAAAUCCGUUGAUAUGUGGAGGAACACCAAAAGCGAAGGCAGGUUGCUGGGCCAUUUCUGACGCUGAGGAACGAAAGCGUGGGGAGCAAACAGG
RNAcentral lists this ribosomal RNA (253 nucleotides) under uncultured bacterium. RNAcentral's name for it is "partial 16S ribosomal RNA". It matches the Rfam family "Bacterial small subunit ribosomal RNA", at positions 524 to 776 of the family's 1533-position model. The record is from RNAcentral.